Molecule: long non-coding RNA, 196 nt
Organism: Octopus sinensis (East Asian common octopus)
Lineage: Eukaryota; Metazoa; Mollusca; Cephalopoda; Octopoda; Octopodidae
Exons: 3
Source: RefSeq, a predicted model, not a curated record
ACACACACACAUGUACUCCUACAUACAAAUACACCAACACAUACAUACGAGGGAGUGUUGAAAAGUUUGUGGCUGUGGGUAAAAAAAAAUAGAGGAGGAUCAGUUAAUUAUGAUUUUAUUCAACAUAUUCCCCUCUCUGAUUCACUCACAUACUGCAAUAGUCCUUCAGUUUUUCUAAGCCUUGUAAAAGAACUCA